UAUUAUAAAGGAGCAUCUAAAAGAGAUAGGCAGUGACUGUGAAAACAUGAAAAUAAUCCAGAAAAUUCAGCCCAGUGGAAAGUUGUUUGCAAUUCCAUCUAAAGCAGUUUGCCCCCAUGUUCAUGGAAUUUGAACUUAAAAGCGUUUGGCUUGCUUCAGUCAUCUAUAUGUUUUCCUAAGUGGAAAAAAUGGGUCUAUUUUUCUCUCUCUUAUCAGUGUAACAACUACUCUGCUUCUGCACCAAAUCUUUAUCAGCAGGUCUCAUGUAAAUUCUUCCGGUUCUCUCUGCUCCAGGCAUGGACAGCUAGUGGGGAAGUGUGCUGCUGGGUACUUCUGCCUUGCUGGGAGCUCUCAGGCCACUCCACAGGGCCCUGGCUUUUCCUGGCGCUUUCCAUCUGGAUGCCAAUGGGGUCAGGCAUGUGCUGGGCUGUGUCCUGCAGGUUUCUACUGCCUGGAGGGAUCUGAGUUACCUAUACCGUGUCCUGCCAAUACUAUUAGGGAUGUUCCCGGGGCUGGGCAGAGGGAAGACUGCCUGCCCUGUCCACCAGGCCACUGGUGCAAAGCAGGGGACUCAGAGGCCUACCUGUGUCCUUCAGGACACUAUUGCUUUGGAGGUAAUGGCAGUGACCAGGACAGUCUGGCACCUCAGAAAUGCCCUCCGCAUACUUACCGCAAGCAGCCGGGAGCUCAGAGCCUGACAGAUUGCCAGCCGUGUCCUCCGGGCUAUCACUGCCCUGUAUCAGGUCUAACCAGUUUUGAGGAUUAUCCAUGCCCACUGGGAUACUGGUGUCCUGGUAAAGGGGAUGCUUUCUUUUGUCCACCUGGCACUUCCAGAGUACAGCCUGGUGCAAAAUCAUUGGAAGAGUGUGAUCCCUGCUCACCAGGGUACUACUGCCCAGACCCAGCACAGACAGGGCUGCCUAACACCCAAGGAGUACCCUGUGAACCUGGCUAUGAAUGCCCAGCAGGUUCAGUAAAUCCAAAGCCUUGCAGGCCUGGCUCAUACUGCGGUGCUCGCACAGCCGUGCCCUCCAUGUGCCCUGCUGGGUAUUACUGUCCCGAAGGCUCAUCAACAUACAAUAGCCCUGAGCAGCUAUGUGUGUUUCCCUAUUACUGUCCCCUGGGCAGUGCCCGCCCACUGCCUUGUGAAGGAGGAUACAUGGCCCUCAGCUCCCCUGGGCCAAGGGAUUCCUUUGAGAAAUUCUGCAGAAUCUGCGACGCAGGCAGCUAUCGUAAUGACUCUUUCAUCUCUGCACCCUGUCAGCCCUGCCCGGCAGGCUUCAUCUGCCCACAAGGCAGUGAGACUUACCACAAGAAGCCUUGUCCCAUUGGCUAUUACUGCCCUUCCCUGACAUCUGCCCCUCUUCCCUGUCCCCCGGGGACCCGUGGGAGCAGCAACUUGGCCAAGCACAUAGAGGACUGUCAGGCCUGUCCUGCUGGCACCUUCAAUCACCUUCCUGCUCAGGCUUCCUGCUUUCCCUGUGGCAGCUCCUCUUCAUCACAGCCGGGUGAGUUACUGGUUUUGAGUGAAACUUUGCCUGCAGUUAAGAGAGAGCAUAAAAAGAAAAUUACCUACAAAUGUGAUUUUCUCACAUGCUUUCCCAAUGGACUGCAAGCCCUGGGACCUUCAUGA
Numida meleagris (helmeted guineafowl) is the source of this 1633-nucleotide long non-coding RNA. NCBI's taxonomy places the organism in Eukaryota, Metazoa, Chordata, Aves, Galliformes, Numididae. The record is from Ensembl.